Molecule: ribosomal RNA, 619 nt
Filed under: uncultured beta proteobacterium
Lineage: Bacteria; Pseudomonadati; Pseudomonadota; Betaproteobacteria
Description: bacterial SSU rRNA
Rfam family: Bacterial small subunit ribosomal RNA
Source: RNAcentral
ACGGGUGCUUGCACCUGGUGGCGAGUGGCGAACGGGUGAGUAAUACAUCGGAACAUGUCCUGUAGUGGGGGAUAGCCCGGCGAAAGCCGGAUUAAUACCGCAUACGAUCUACGGAUGAAGGCGGGGGACCUUCGGGCCUCGCGCUAUAGGGUUGGCCGAUGGUUGAUUAGCUAGUUGGUGGGGUAAAGGCCUACCAAGGCGACGAUCAGUAGCUGGUCUGAGAGGACGACCAGCCACACUGGGACUGAGACACGGCCCAGACUCCUACGGGAGGCAGCAGUGGGGAAUUUUGGACAAUGGGCGAAAGCCUGAUCCAGCAAUGCCGCGUGUGUGAAGAAGGCCUUCGGGUUGUAAAGCACUUUUGUCCGGAAAGAAAUCCUUGGUUCUAAUAUAGCCGGGGGAUGACGGUACCGGAAGAAUAAGCACCGGCUAACUACGUGCCAGCAGCCGCGGUAAUACGUAGGGUGCGAGCGUUAAUCGGAAUUACUGGGCGUAAAGCGUGCGCAGGCGGUUUGCUAAGACCGAUGUGAAAUCCCCGGGCUCAACUGGGAAUGCAUUGGUGAUGGAGGUAGAGUAUGGCAGAGGGGGGUAGAAUUCCACGUGUAGCAGUGAAAUGCGU